This 671-nucleotide ribosomal RNA is filed under the name uncultured bacterium. RNAcentral describes it as "bacterial SSU rRNA". It matches the Rfam family "Bacterial small subunit ribosomal RNA", at positions 722 to 1394 of the family's 1533-position model. The record is from RNAcentral.
CAGCNUCCUGGGAUAACACUGACGUUCAUGCCCGAAAGCGUGGGUAGCAAACAGGAUUAGAUACCCUGGUAGUCCACGCCCUAAACGAUGUCGAUUAGCUGUUGGGCAGCAUGACUGCUUAGUAGCGAAGCUAACGCGUGAAAUCGACCGCCUGGGGAGUACGGUCGCAAGAUUAAAACUCAAAGGAAUUGACGGGGACCCGCACAAGCGGUGGAUGAUGUGGAUUAAUUCGAUGCAACGCGAAGAACCUUACCUGGUCUUGACAUGUACGGAAUCCUCCAGAGACGGAGGAGUGCCUUCGGGAGCCGUAACACAGGUGCUGCAUGGCUGUCGUCAGCUCGUGUCGUGAGAUGUUGGGUUAAGUCCCGCAACGAGCGCAACCCUUGUCAUUAGUUGCCAUCAUUAAGUUGGGCACUCUAAUGAGACUGCCGGUGACAAGCCGGAGGAAGGUGGGGAUGACGUCAAGUCCUCAUGGCCCUUAUGACCAGGGCUUCACACGUCAUACAAUGGUCGGUACAGAGGGUAGCCAAGCCGCGAGGCGGAGCCAAUCUCACAAAACCGAUCGUAGUCCGGAUUGCACUCUGCAACUCGAGUGCAUGAAGUCGGAAUCGCUAGUAAUCGCAGGUCAGCAUACUGCGGUGAAUACGUUCCCGGGUCUUGUACACACCGCC